UCUUACAGGCUAGGAUACCUGCAGCUCAUGGCUCCUGUGGCACUGCCCUGGGCCAUGCAUGACAUGACGGGGACGCUGCGCACCCGGAGCCUGCUGCGGAGGCAGCUGUGCCCUGCGGCAGGCUGUUGGGGAGUGGUGACUGGGCCUGGAGGUUAUGUCUCAGGAGGAGUUGCAAGCCUGAGACUGGGGCUGUUCAUUUUUUCCCCCUCCUCUCCCCUUCCAUAUGGGGAAGAAUAAAAUGAAGAAACAACAUUUUCAGAGAAGAAAGACUUGGAAAGAGUUGCUGUUUUCUGGGAGUCUGCUACAGCUGUUAAUUUGUGGAAAACCUCAGUGGAAAGUAAGCAAUAUGGCAGCAUCACUUUACAGGAGAAUUCAGAAAUGGCCUUGUUCCAAACCAUGGCUGAUUUAGGUCUUGGCUUGCACAGCCAAAGCUUCAUGUAGUGUCAUGCUUUUUUAUAGAUAAUGUUGAUGCAGCUGUGGAAGGCUCUGAUGUUCAUUUUUUCAACGUGGAAUUGUCGUCAUUCAAUCAAGCUUAAGUGUUGUGGAGCUGUGAUGUUGUUUGUCUUUGCUUGUUAGAUGUUGGCGGGUGAGUUUGAGACAGGCUGAGAUGUUGUUUGGGAAAGAAGAAAAGGCACCCUCCCUUCCUCCUUGCCUUCUUCACAGCAAUGCACACAGACCAAAACUCCCAUCCAAGCAGUCAGGAACUCUGAAAAAAUUCAGAGCUGGACUUAAGCUCUGUGGGCUGGGACCCCUCUGCCUCUCCAAAGCGCGCACACUCUUCUCUUCCUGUAAACUUUGUUCCUCUCCAGCAUUUGUCAUGCGUACUUGAUGGCAUAUCAAGAUUUUAAAUACUGUACCGAGUGCAGGAACCUCUUUUUCUUGGAUGGACAUUUUGUUUGCAGAGAAUGCAGCAUGGUGCUCAGUUGUCUGGGCAGAAAUGAACACUGAGGAACAUUUCAACUAUGUGACACCCAUUAGAUCAGAGAUUAGUUUUCCACUAGAAAUGGCCAAUUAUUUAAACCUCUGCAGUAGAGGAAAGGGCUUUUGACAACCUGUUUUGCUGGAAAAUGCUGCAAUUCAUUUGGGAUAGAUUAGAUGAUCUAUUAGAUAUUAGAAAAGGGGGAAAGGGUUUCUAUUUAAUGUUAGUCCAGUGGUUAACUUGGGGAACAUCAGUGAGCACUAGCACAAAAAAACUCCUUCAGGUAUUUCUGUGAUUGCUAUUAACAUUUAUACUGCAACUGUGGCCUUCUGUCAGGCAGGAAGCCAUGUGCAGAGUGUUGCACAAAUACUGAGUUGCACUUGGUUGCUGGGGCGAGAAACUCAAGCUUCCCAUUCCUAGGGCAUGCAUUGAUGCACACUGGACUCGCUGCUUCUUCUAGGCUCUUUUGUGAUUGGGAUUUUCCAGAUUUUUUUCCAGUGCUGUCAUGUCACAUAAUGACUGAUUUGCUUGCCUCCUUAUCUCUGAGCCAUAUGACUUGCUUUGAUUGUAUCUCCCUUGCCAACUUGGCUAGAUAUCUUGCUUCUUUUCCUGAGGGUGGAUUAGGGAAGAAUCCUUGGAUCCUUGGAGUUUCCUGUAGCAUCUGGAAAGAAGAGGAAAACCAGAGAUGGGCCAGAAGGAGGCAGGCAGAGAAAGAUGAAAGAAUUUGGAGGUGGGAAGAAUUCACUUUUGGAAUGAAGCUUCCUCCUGCCUGGCCUAAGGCAGAGCAAUUUACACUUUUUUGCUACACGCAGAAUGGCCCAGCUCCUCCUCUUAGGAGCAAAAAUUUCAGAGGUGCCUGAGGGUUCCCCUAUUUAUAUUUUUAUGAGCUGCUUAGUCUCCUUUGAAUCUCAAGCCAUAUCCCCAUUGCCAAUACCUGAGCUAGCUUGAAGUGAGGUAGUGUCUCGUGGCAAGACCUGAGCUGGCUUCAGAAAGUUUAGCUUCUAGAAGAAGUUUACCCACAGUUUACCUCUGCAUAUGUCAGAGUACCUGCCUGCCACAAUACCUUAGCCUCUGCCAAGUGCUGUUUAAAGCUGCCUCAGUAGCUGGUAAUCAGCACUCAGUAGUGUCUGUGCAGCAGCCUGUGAUGCAGACACACCACAGGCUGCAGUAAAGACCUCUGCUGAAAUCCAGGUCUCUCCGCAGUCACCCGCUGCGGCUUGAGAACAUAAAUGCCAGAUGUCACUGCAGAGCAUGGGGUUUAGAAGCUGAAGUCACUUAGGUGCUUUUGAAAACCUUAUAUGGCUGAACCACAUUCCCUAUUAGCACUGUUAAAUGCUUUCCUGUUUUUCUCUUUCCCCUUGAACUCACACUGCAGUCCUAACCAGCUAUCGUGUUUUGUUUUUAAUGACAGAGCGAAGGUGCCAAAAUAUUUCAGUAGCUCCCCUAGGAACAUCUGCAACUUCUUUAGCUAAUAUUUUCACAGCUGGCCAUAACUUUAUUUUAUUUUUGAAUGUUAAUAGUACAAAAUCUGGGAUCCUGAAGGAGAACAAUGGCUAAUUUCCCUUGUAUCAGAAUUUAGAAGAUACAAAAAGGCUACACCAGCUCCUUUGAAUAAAUGCCUAAGAACAGAGCCAUGGGGGAGAUUGUCAUUUGAAAGACAAUGUUGCUCAGAUCAAGAGGGACUGUGUUAGUUUUUCACUUUAUUUUCUUAAAUAAAGGGUGGUUGACAGAGGAAAAACUUGAUCUGGAUCCAGACAGAGCUUUAGAUCAACCUUCGGAUUAAGGAUAAAGUUUGCAUCUGUAGCCACCGGGAGCAAAACAUAUGCACAAUUCAAAUGAUAGAGCUGAUGAUGAUGAGAUUCAUGCUACCAGUGUUGCAGAAGCUUGAUCUGAUCGCUGCUUCCAGCACACUUUCUAUCAUCUUUGAUGAAGAUGAGAAGGGUAAAAUGUCAUAGAUCUAAUCUGCUACCAAAUUCUUGGAAAAGGAAUUAAGUCUGGGAAUCUGAACUUCAACCCACAAAAAUUCAGAGGACCUUUAAUUACAGCUCUGAUUUAUAACCCGCUAGCUAUGUUUAGUUGGUCAAAAAGUGAAAAUAAACUGAAGGUAUUUAGUCGAUCGAUUGACUGAUAUGAGUCAACCGAUCAUUUGCUUGCAUUCUUUGCGCUACAUCUCUCCCUUCCCUAUACUUGACUUACCAUGGUAUAAAAAAAAAAAAAAAAAAAAAAAAAAAAAAAAAAAAAGAACAAAA
Molecule: long non-coding RNA, 3168 nt
Organism: Dromaius novaehollandiae (emu)
Lineage: Eukaryota; Metazoa; Chordata; Aves; Casuariiformes; Dromaiidae
Exons: 2
Source: RefSeq, a predicted model, not a curated record